This 321-nucleotide ribosomal RNA is filed under the name Triticum aestivum (bread wheat). RNAcentral's name for it is "partial small subunit ribosomal RNA". The record is from RNAcentral. Lineage: Eukaryota; Viridiplantae; Streptophyta; Magnoliopsida; Poales; Poaceae.
AUGAAGACUUGCCGGGCGAGGGCUGAAGAGCAUGGACGCUUUCUACGGCGGCGCCACCAGUCGAUUUCGCGGCCAUCCAGCACCAGCCGCCACAGCUCCACUGGUGCCGCAGCCGCUCUUUGCCGUGUGCGCGCUAGCUUGGCCCACAUCGCCGAGGCUGUGGCUGGUGGCGUGUGGGGGAGAGAGGUGGAGAGGAAGACUUGUGCGUGCGACCCAAUGCGGAGCUGCCUUUGCUGGGAAGAAAACAAUCCAAUCGCUGCUACUCGUGUUUGUUUCCUUCUAUACAGUAAAAUCGGCACAGUAAAAGCCUACGAGGCAUAG